Molecule: small nucleolar RNA, 129 nt
Organism: Mus musculus (house mouse)
Lineage: Eukaryota; Metazoa; Chordata; Mammalia; Rodentia; Muridae
Source: RefSeq, marked provisional
AUCGCGUCUGGAGAGUAGCUAGUAUUCUUCCAGCUUCGGAAGCAAGAGGGAGAGCAAGCCUAGCAGAGGUACCCAUUCCAUUCCCAGUUUGCUCGGUAGCUGGUGAUUGGAAGACACUCUGCAACAUUA